ACUGCUAUCGGGGUGGGACUAAGACAUGCGAGUCGAGCGUCUCUAGCUAUGUUGAGACGCGGCAUACGGCUCAGUAACACGUGGCUAACCUACCCUCAGGACGGGGACAAACCCGGGAAACUGGGGCUAAUAUCCGAUAGGCGAGGAAUCCUGGAAUGGUUCUUCACCCAAAGGACAUUGGAAACAUGCUUUCUCUGUCGCCUGGGGAUGGGGCUGCGACCGAUCAGGUUGUUGGUGAGGUAAUGGCUCACCAAGCCUAUAACCGGUACGGGCCGUGAGAGUGGUAGCCCGGAGAUGGGUACUGAGACAAGGACCCAGGCCCUACGGGGCGCAGCAGUCGCGAAAACUCCGCAAUGCACGAAAGUGUGACGGGGCUACCCCGAGUGCCGUCCGCUGAGGAUGGCUUUUCCUUGGUGUAACUAGCCGGGGGAAUAAGGAGAGGGCAAGACUGGUGUCAGCCGCCGCGGUAAUACCAGCUCUCCGAGUGGUAGGGAUGAUUAUUGGGCUUAAAGCGUCCGUAGCCGGCUUAGCAAGUCUCCUGUUAAAUUCAGCGACCUAAUCGUUGACCCGCGGGAGAUACUACUAGGCUAGGAGGCGGGAGAGGUCGACGGUACUUCUGGGGUAGGGGUGAAAUCCUAUAAUCCCGGGAGGACCACCAGUGGCGAAGGCUGUCGACUAGAACGCGCUCGACGGUGAGGGACGAAAGCUGGGGGAGCGAACCGGAUUAGAUACCCGGGCAGUCCCAGCUGUAAACGAUGCGGGCUAGGUGUUGGGGUGGCUACGUGCCACUUCAGUGCCGCAGGGAAGCCAUUAAGCCCGCCGCCUGGGGAGUACGGCCGCAAGGCUGAAACUUAAAGGAAUUGGCGGGGGAGCACCACAAGGCGUGAAG
This 889-nucleotide ribosomal RNA is filed under the name uncultured archaeon. RNAcentral's name for it is "bacterial SSU rRNA". It matches the Rfam family "Archaeal small subunit ribosomal RNA", at positions 26 to 893 of the family's 1478-position model. The record is from RNAcentral.